This 429-nucleotide ribosomal RNA is filed under the name uncultured bacterium. RNAcentral describes it as "bacterial SSU rRNA". It matches the Rfam family "Bacterial small subunit ribosomal RNA", at positions 917 to 1349 of the family's 1533-position model. The record is from RNAcentral.
GGGCCCGCACAAGCGGUGGAGCAUGUGGUUUAAUUCGAUGAUACGCGAGGAACCUUACCAGGGCUUAAAUGUAGUCUGACAGGGGUGGAAACACCCCCUCCUUCGGGCAGAUUACAAGGUGCUGCAUGGUUGUCGUCAGCUCGUGCCGUGAGGUGUCAGGUUAAGUCCUAUAACGAGCGCAACCCCUGCCGUUAGUUGCCAGCAUGUAAUGAUGGGAACUCUAACGGGACUGCCGGUGCAAACCGCGAGGAAGGUGGGGAUGACGUCAAAUCAUCACGGCCCUUACGUCCUGGGCUACACACGUGCUACAAUGGCCGGUACAGAGGGCAGCCACACCGCAAGGUGGAGCGAAUCUUCAAAGCCGGUCUCAGUUCGGAUCGCAGUCUGCAACUCGACUGCGUGAAGCUGGAAUCGCUAGUAAUCGGAUAU